This 1496-nucleotide long non-coding RNA is filed under the name Parus major (Great Tit). Its description in RNAcentral is "lncRNA (ENSPMJG00000008218.1)". Lineage: Eukaryota; Metazoa; Chordata; Aves; Passeriformes; Paridae. The record is from RNAcentral.
GAUCCACAUGUGCCUUGGGAAGUGUGGUCUGGAAAAGGUUCUUAUAUUGUGUUUGCUUGGCAGCAGCCACUUGAGGUACAGGACAGUGUUGUCUCCAGACCCAAGGGCAUGCUCUGCAGCACCAGCAGUUCUCACAUGGAGUUUCUACAGUUCUGCUUGCUGUGACCUUCUGGGCCAUCAGGGAAACACAACGGGGUCCUGCCAGCCUCGUGCGAUGAACCAUCACUUGCCAGGAUUCACACCAGGCUUCCUGGGAUGCUGUGUUGCUGCUUGGAAUCCUGAUUGCUUCUGCUUGCUCACUGUGCUGCUGGCAGGAUGGGAUUGAUGUCCAGUUUGGCACAUUGGGCAGAGCCAAGCCCAUAACCAUCCUCUGUGCCCUUGGCAGACUGGGGAACCAAGCUAGACCCCUCUCUCUAGAGGGGUUCCAGGUGAGCAAGGGACAGGCUUGGUGCUGUCCAUAUUUAUUCUGGUGGGAAAAGCCACCUCCUUCACCCUUUCCACCUGGGAACUGUGUAACUGCUGGGGAUGACACCACAUGGAUGCAGGGCCAACGGCCUGGCAUCAAGGCACUAGCUGAGCCUGAGCACUAUCGCAGGGCACAGAGCUGCCUUAGGGGGUGCCAGCAUCCCCAGCACGGCUGCACUCCAGGCAUGUAGGUUCUGGGCACAGGAGAGGUCCUGUCAGCAAUGGGCCGUCUGGAUGACCAUGCCAAGAGGAGGAUUGUGGAGCUGCGCAGGGCUGGGCUGAGCUUCCGCAAGAUCAAGAAGGUGCUGGAGCUGGAUGACAUCCGGGUGACGCCGCAGGCCGUGUACCUCUUCCUCAAGAGGAAGAGCGUGGAACCAGGCCAGGACACCAAGGAAGGCAUCCAGAUUGUCGGUGUGGCCUCGCUCUGCAAGGACGGUGGGCAGCUUGGGGACACUCUGCCUCUGGGGCUGGCCCCUGGGAAUGGUGAUGACAGUUCCACAGGCAAAGCCCUGACUCCAGGGACUGCUCUGGGGGGCCCGGCCCCCCUGCCCCAGAUACUGCCAGGCCGAGUGCAGCUGGUCACACCCCCGACCCAGAACUCAGCCCUGAUGGUGAAAAAGAAGACUCUGGACAGGGCUAUCCUGCAGAAAAAGGUCAAAGAUGCCAGCACUCAGACUGGCUUGCCAAACCCUGUGGGUCCAGGACAUCACAACCUUGCUUGGGGUGGAACUGUGCCCCCCACUGCUCCCAGCUUCCCCAGCAUCACUGAGAAGCUGGAUGCUGUACAGAGGGAGGUGCAGAAGCUGAGCCAGGCCCUGCAUACAGUAUUGGAGCGGCAGUGCCACCUGGAACGCCAGCAGGAGCACCAACAGCGGCUGCAGCAGGAGGUGCUGAUGACACUGCAGCAGCUCAGCUCCACUGUGAGCCAUGGCUCUGUGCCAGCCACCCAGCCCUGUGGCCCCUUCAGCAGUGUGGCCGAGCCCUUGCCCACCAUGCCAAACUUCAGCCAGUUCAAGAUGGAGCUGAUCUGA